GAGAAUGUGGCAGCUGAAGGGGGAGAGGCCAAGAAAGAGGCCAAGGGUGAAGACAUUUAGCUACCCCCCUUGAAGUACAUGGCAGCAUUCAACCCUCUUGGUGAGCUGCAGGAAUGUGCUUCCCAGUGCAGUGCACCAGCUCCAUGUACUGAUUUUGGGUGUGAACUUGAUGGGGUUGGAGGAAACUCGACUCGGCCAUCAAGCUCACCACAAUAUAACAUGAAAAGUGAAAAUUGCUGCACACAACAGUCUGCCGUCUGCACCGGGAGGCAAGGCAGCUCAAAGCCCAGGCUGUUACAACUCCUGGGCAGUUUUUGCCCAGAGCCAGCAAUUUUUUAGAUCCAAUAGGGAUGGAUUUUUUCUGAGGUCAGGUUCAACAUGCUGCAAGAUGCCAAGAUCUAAGCCUAGUAGAAGAUAUGGGUUACAAGAGAGGAGGUUUGCUCUGGCCUUAUACUAUCAAAGUCCAAAUGCUAAUAGAUUUCUGAGCACAGUAUUUCACUUGCCUUCAAUUUCAACACUUCACUCAUGACUCAGGGGUAUUUCAGUACAUGUUGGCUGGAGCAAACAGACUCUGACAGCCCUGCAGCAAAAAGCACAGGCUUUGUCAUAAGAAGAGAAACUUCGUGGGAUUUGCCAUUAUUUAGUAUUACUCUUGUUACGCCAAGAAUUUUUUACCAUAUACUUUGCCAAAUAUUGCAAGUAAUGCACCAUUGUUGGGCUUGCUUGUUAUAAAUCAGAUCUUGUUCAGUUAACAAGCUUUAAGUGUCUGCCACUUUCCAAUUGUAAUGCAAGGAAUCCCCUGCCAGAUAUCACAUGUAAUGCACCAUUGUUGGUUUUGCCUGUUAUAAAUCAGAUCUUGUUCAAUUAACAAGCUUUAGGUGUCUGCCACUUUCCAGUUGUAAUGCAAGGAAUCCCCUGCCAGAUAUCGCAUGCAAUGCACCAUUGUUGGUUUUGCCUAUUAUAAAUCAGAUCCUGUUCAGCUCACAAGCUUUGAAUAUCUGCCAUUGUUUAUUUCAGGUGUAAUGCUUGGAAACAUUUGUUCUCUUCCCUACCCAACAGUAUGCAAUACUUUAUUGUGGAUUUUGCCUGUUAUGUUUAAUCUUGUUCAGGUAACAAACUUUUGGUGUCUGCCUUACCUAAUAUGUGCUGCAGUGACACUUGGCUUGGUUUCAUGAUGUGAAAUACAGCAUGUAAUUUCACCACACUAAGUGUCUAUUAUUACGUGUCUGGCAUCAUUAAUGUGGCUUCCAGGAGUAAUCUUGUUUGUAUUACAGCAUGCAAUUUUUUUUCUGCUUUAUAUGAUAUACAUAAUCACAUAGGUAUGAUUUACAAAAUGUAAUGGCAGUUGAUAUUCUUGACUAAUGCCUCAUAAACCGUGUGAAAAAUAAUGCUCUUUUGAAGGGGGGUGGGGGGGGGGGUGGACAAAGAGUGGUUUGUUUGGUUGGCCAGUUCAAGGAGUUUCAUAUCAAAUGAUUUUAUUACAUCCAACUUUAAUGUGUGCUAAAAACAUAUAUUUUAUUACAUCCAACUUUAAUGUGUGCUUCCUGCAAUAAAUGCUACAUGUUUACUGAUGUAGCCUAUGAAAUACAUAUCACUCUCUGCCCUGUAAUUUAAUUGGUGUGUCACAUACUGCAGCAUAACUUUCCUGCUAUUUUCUUACACUAUGAGUUGCCUUAUUUUGUCUCAUUUGCUUUUAUCAUAUGUGCCUCCGCUGCAUAGUUGUGCCUACUGAGCUUAAUAUCUUCAUGACCCUGACACCAAGGUCAGAGCUUGUGAGAUCAUACCGUGUCCUACAUUCCAUUUUCACCUCCAGGCUUGGCUGUCUCCCAGGACCACCAAGUUAUUGCAUUCCAUUUAAGACAACUCAUGUGUUACCUUCUUAAUGUCCUCCAUCAUGUAUUUCAGCAUGUUUUAUGAUGC
Molecule: long non-coding RNA, 1920 nt
Organism: Eriocheir sinensis (Chinese mitten crab)
Lineage: Eukaryota; Metazoa; Arthropoda; Malacostraca; Decapoda; Varunidae
Exons: 3
Source: RefSeq, a predicted model, not a curated record